UACGGUGGGGGCAAGCGUUGUUCGGAAUUACUGGGCGUAAAGCGCGCGUAGGCGGACCUGCAAGUCGGGGGUGAAAGCCCGAGGCUCAACCUCGGAACUGCCUUCGAUACUGCGGGUCUCGAGUCCGGGAGAGGUGAGUGGAAUUCCUAGUGUAGAGGUGAAAUUCGUAGAUAUUAGGAAGAACACCAGUGGCGAAGGCGGCUCACUGGCCCGGUACUGACGCUGAGGCGCGAAAGCGUGGGGAGCAAACAGG
RNAcentral lists this ribosomal RNA (253 nucleotides) under uncultured bacterium. RNAcentral's name for it is "partial 16S ribosomal RNA". It matches the Rfam family "Bacterial small subunit ribosomal RNA", at positions 524 to 776 of the family's 1533-position model. The record is from RNAcentral.